Molecule: ribosomal RNA, 271 nt
Filed under: uncultured bacterium
Lineage: Bacteria
Description: partial 16S ribosomal RNA
Rfam family: Bacterial small subunit ribosomal RNA
Source: RNAcentral
UGGUUUAGUGGCGGACGGGUGGAGUAACACGUGAGCAACCUACCUUUCUAGAGGGGGAGUAACAGUUGGAAACGACUGCUAAUACCGCAUAACGUUGUAAAAGGGCAUCCAUUUACAACCAAAAGAGAAAUCUGCUGAAAGAUGGGCUCGCGGCCGAUUAGAUAGUUGGCGGGGUAACGGCCCACCAAGGCAGCGAUCAGUAGCCGGCCUGAGAGGGUGGACGGCCACAUUGGGACUGAGACACGGCCCAAACUCCUACGGGAGGCAGCAG